Molecule: long non-coding RNA, 352 nt
Organism: Dendronephthya gigantea
Lineage: Eukaryota; Metazoa; Cnidaria; Anthozoa; Malacalcyonacea; Nephtheidae
Exons: 3
Source: RefSeq, a predicted model, not a curated record
GUGCGGGUAAAGUAGGAGCGGAUCCCCGGAUCGUGUCCCCGAUGAAGGCAGAUCGCUGGGUGAAAUCUGGUAACAUUGAAUUUAAUAAACUGCACCAUUUUCUCAAGAAGCACUGGUUUAUUUGCAAGGAGUUAUGGAUGGUUUUGCAGUAACUUUGAAACCUGACAUGAUGAUGAUGCUAAAAUACAGAUGAUAAUUGGCUUGGAAAUUCAAGAAUCAUGGCAACACUCUGGUGAUAAAGUCUAUCCACUAUAAUAAGUACAUGUGUGGCAACCUUCGCAUCUGCAGGCUUCUGUUCCACCUCGGUUGGGGUCUGGUCGUCUUCCGGCUUCUCUUCAAUCACGUUCAACAC